UAAAGAAUUUCGGUAUGGGAUGGGGAUGCGUUCCAUUAGCUAGUUGGCGGGGUAACGGCCCACCAAGACAACGAUGGAUAGGGGUUCUGAGAGGAAGGUCCCCCACAUUGGAACUGAGACACGGUCCAAACUCCUACGGGAGGCAGCAGUGAGGAAUAUUGGUCAAUGGACGAGAGUCUGAACCAGCCAAGUAGCGUGAAGGAUGACUGCCCUAUGGGUUGUAAACUUCUUUUAUAUGGGAAUAAAAUGUUCCACGUGUGGGAUUUUGUAUGUACCAUAUGAAUAAGGAUCGGCUAACUCCGUGCCAGCAGCCGCGGUAAUACGGAGGAUCCGAGCGUUAUCCGGAUUUAUUGGGUUUAAAGGGAGCGUAGGUGGAUUGUUAAGUCAGUUGUGAAAGUUUGCGGCUCAACCGUAAAAUUGCAGUUGAAACUGGCAGUCUUGAGUACAGUAGAGGUGGGCGGAAUUCGUGGUGUAGCGGUGAAAUGCUUAGAUAUCACGAAGAACUCCGAUUGCGAAGGCAGCUCACUGGACUGCAACUGACACUGAGGCUCGAAAGUGUGGGUAUCAAACAGGAUUAGAUACCCUGGUAGUCCACACAGUAAACGAUGAAUACUCGCUGUUUGCGAUAUAGGCAA
RNAcentral lists this ribosomal RNA (635 nucleotides) under uncultured bacterium. Its description in RNAcentral is "bacterial SSU rRNA". It matches the Rfam family "Bacterial small subunit ribosomal RNA", at positions 202 to 842 of the family's 1533-position model. The record is from RNAcentral.